UACGGGGGGAGCAAGCGUUGUUCGGAUUUACUGGGCGUAAAGGGCGCGUAGGCGGUCAGCACAAGUCAGUUGUGAAAUCUCCGGGCUUAACUCGGAAAGGUCAACUGAUACUGUGCGACUAGAGUGCGGAAGGGGCAACUGGAAUUCUCGGUGUAGCGGUGAAAUGCGUAGAUAUCGAGAGGAACACCUGCGGCGAAGGUGGGUUGCUGGGCCGACACUGACGCUGAUGCGCGAAAGCCAGGGGAGCGAGCGGG
RNAcentral lists this ribosomal RNA (254 nucleotides) under uncultured bacterium. Its description in RNAcentral is "partial 16S ribosomal RNA". It matches the Rfam family "Bacterial small subunit ribosomal RNA", at positions 524 to 776 of the family's 1533-position model. The record is from RNAcentral.